Molecule: unclassified non-coding RNA, 310 nt
Filed under: plant metagenome
Description: partial contains 5.8S ribosomal RNA, internal transcribed spacer 2, and large subunit ribosomal RNA
Rfam family: 5.8S ribosomal RNA (bases 1-105)
Source: RNAcentral
GAAAUGCGAUAAGUAGUGUUAAUUGCAGAAUUCAGUGAAUCAUCGAAUCUUUGAACGCACAUUGCGCCCCUUGGUAUUCCAUGGGGCAUGCCUGUUCGAGCGUCAUUUGUACCCUCAAGCUCUGCUUGGUGUUGGGUGUUUGUCCCCGUCUCCGCGCGUGGACUCGCCCCAAAGUGAUUGGCAGCCGGCGUACUGGUCCCGGAGCGCAGCACAUGUCGCGCAAACGAGUGCCUUGGUACGGCGGCGUCCAUAAGCCCCUCUCUCACGCUCUUGACCUCGGAUCAGGUAGGGAUACCCGCUGAACUUAAGC